GAUGAACGCUGACAGAAUGCUUAACACAUGCAAGUCGAUGGGGAAGUGGUGCUUGCACCAUGGUAACCAUGGCGGACGGGUGAGUAACGCGUAAGGAACUUGCCUGCGGGACUGGGAUAACAGCAGGAAACUGCUGAUAAUACCGGAUAAGGUCAUUAAGCUGCAUAGCUUAGUGAUGAAAGGAGACGCCUGCGGAGAGCCUUGCGUCCUAUUAGCUAGUUGGAGGGGUAACGGCCCACCAAGGCGAAGAUAGGUAGCCGGCCUGAGAGGGUGGACGGCCACAAGGGGACUGAGAUACGGCCCCUACUCCUACGGGAGGCAGCAGUGGGGAAUAUUGGACAAUGGGGGCAACCCUGAUCCAGCAAUUCUGUGUGCACGAAGACGGUUUUCGGAUUGUAAAGUGCUUUCAGCAGGGAAGAAGGAAGUGACGGUACCUGCAGAAGAAGCGACGGCUAAAUACGUGCCAGCAGCCGCGGUAAUACGUAUGUCGCGAGCGUUAUCCGGAAUUAUUGGGCAUAAAGGGCAUCUAGGCGGCCUUUCAAGUCAGGGGUGAAAACCUGCGGCUCAACCGCAGGCCUGCCUUUGAAACUGAUAGGCUGGAGUACCGGAGAGGUGGACGGAACUGCACGAGUAGAGGUGAAAUUCGUAGAUAUGUGCAGGAAUGCCGAUGAUGAAGAUAGUUCACUGGACGGUAACUGACGCUGAAGUGCGAAAGCCGGGGGAGCGAACAGG
RNAcentral lists this ribosomal RNA (732 nucleotides) under uncultured Leptotrichia sp. Its description in RNAcentral is "bacterial SSU rRNA". It matches the Rfam family "Bacterial small subunit ribosomal RNA", at positions 28 to 776 of the family's 1533-position model. Lineage: Bacteria; Fusobacteriati; Fusobacteriota; Fusobacteriia; Fusobacteriales; Leptotrichiaceae. The record is from RNAcentral.